UUUUGAUUCGGAGGGUCAGCACGUCCGAGCGAACUCCGAGAAAAAGAUCUAGGAGCGUCUCCAACCCAAUUGCUGGUCCCUCGUUUAGAACGAAUUCUUGUUCGCCGGAAACGGUGGUGGACUGGCUAGGCAAAGAGAUCGAACCUGGUGGUCCCCAAAUGGACCACGCGGUCCAAACGACGGACCUGCCGUUCCAUGAGCCGAGCACGCCGGACGACUGGUUGACGUCGACGCUGGGUCAGGUGGUGCAGACACCAGGUCCUUCAACUAGGAGAUGUAGCCUGGAGCAAAGCAGGAGCGACGAGUCGAAAAUUCGACGUCACCUCGGAUCCCUGGCCACUUUCUUCAUCUCGAGGAGACGGGGUUCAGACCAUUCGACUGUUUCGGACAGCUCAGAGCCGGGCUCCAUGGCUUUGGCGCACGAUAUUACUCCUACGAAAACGAGGAUGACGCCUCCUGUCUCGUUUCGCACAUUUACCCGUCCGGCCAGGCCUCGUCACCGGAACUUCCGGCCCAUAGCCCCGUCACACCCUCCAAGUAGCAUUUUUCAACGGAGAAAUCUCGACAUUUUGAAACUGAGUUGUGAUCCUUCCACGAUUUUUUAGCGAUGAAAUCGCUAGGGUCAUCAACAUCUGAGCAGAUUCGAAGAGGAUUCGAACUCCAGCGGGCUGAUUGUUGAUAUUGAUAGACAGAGCGAUAGACAAAAGAAGACUUAAGAACUACGGAGCGCCUAUUGGUCGUGGACUAACCAUAGGGUUUCUUGGGGGUUGCGGGUUGCCAUCAGUGAGCCUAUUAUCUACCCCCUUAGUCCAUUGCAACCACCCGCUUCUACCAAUGGGAUCUCUCAAUAUCCCUUUUGUUUUUUUUGUCUAUGGCUUUGUCCAUCAAUUUCAACAAUCAGCCCGCAGAGCUGUCUAAGGCGCCGCGCCGGAUGCGAGAAUGAUCGGAGCGCCUUCAUUUUUCCGGCUAUGCAACAAUGACAUCUAUUAGGCACGAAUAGUUGCAUCCGGGCGUUUCCAUGAAAGACCAGGCCGUAUCUGACAAUGAGUUACCUAUUGUAACUGCAGCUGACUUGUUUUAAUUUCGUUUAUUAUGAAAUGCAAUUAUCUAUCUGUUUUAAUCCUGGGUACAACGCUGUAUUACGCGGUGCGACCCGCCAUAAAUGUAGGCUGUGCUAUUGAAAAAAAAAAUGAGCCAUAACAUUUGUUUUCUCUUGAUAAAAGACAUUAAAGAUAAACACAAUGAUAAUGUUAAUGCACUUACGUUGGCGUGCGCUUAUAUUGUAACUUGCAUACCUAGAAUUAAAGUUUACUGUCGUUCAUGAUAGGCCGUAUUUUGCGAAAAAGGCCUGCCGUUGCAUACGAGAAUAGAGGAGGCCGUAACUACGAUUCUAUGACGUCACGCUAGUAGGUAAAACUCGACCGCGAUUAACUAUACUCAUAAUCAACAGAGCUUUUAAAUUAAUUAAGCUUUAAUUAUGAGAAAGGUUUGAUAUACGGAAAGAAAUCACUGCCUGAGCGGUUCAUGAUGAAGUCUCGUGUGGGGACGAGCACGCUUGAAAAACGUGAGAUAUGACAUGCGAGUCGAUUCGAUCGGUUUGAGACAGCUUAUUAUGGAGAUUAAUUUCGAUCAACUGGUGUAUUACACGUAUGUGCCAAUUAAGUGCUGCUUCUGAUGUAUUGCUUGCGACUAGUAAUAAGGGAAAUAUGUUUGUCUCUGCUGGAUAAAUAAACCUAAAAUGAGGAGCUAGGAGGACAAGGUGCAUAAGUGCAAUUUUUGAAUAAAUUGAGAUAUUAAUGAUUUCACGUAAAACUAAUCCUAAGGCAUAACUUGUGAAAAUUCGCUCCCAAAUUCCAAUUUUUAAGCAUCAAAAAGUCAGUUUGAACAUUCUUUCCGCCUUUAGGAUCCAUCUAAUUUCGAAACUUCAAACACGUAUUUCUCGAAAUACAAAUAGUAAAAACUGUAUUGAUGCGCCUUGUCCUCCAAGCACCUCAAAUAAGUUUGUAAUUGGACCGGGCAUGGUAACAAACUAGCGAUGAUUUAUUUGGUUAAUUCAUGCUUUUCAACUCUUUUUUGGUGUACUUCAAAUUAACAUCGAUCUAAGUAAGAUGUUAAAAAUUUGCCAAGACUGAAGAGAGGAAAUGAAAAAAAAUUAAAUAAAUAAGUACAUGCAAAAAAAAGAGUAACAAAUAAGUAAUUCUAGAGAAAGCAAAAUACGUUUGAUCCAUGUCAUUACGCUAUAUACUGCCUUGCACGGUCGGAUAAUUUUUAAAAAAAAUAUCACGCAUAAAUAAAAUUGAAAACUGAAAGAUCAUUGUUUAUUCAUAACUGGAUCCGCAGUUAAUAUUGAUGACAGAACUGUCUCUGGUCACUAGGCUUACCUAAUUGUACUUUCACCAAGUCGUAGGUACGCAAGUACAUGAUUUGUUGAGAACCAUAAAUUACCAUUCGCAACGCAAGAAAUUUCAAUGUUACGAACUUCUUGUUUUUAAAAAUUCUGUGAUAAUGUACGUUGUACUAAAUUUAAGUUGUACCUAGUGUUAAGUGAUUAUUUUAAUAUAUUUUUUUUGUUACGUAUGAAGGGCCAACUUCGUUCGAUUGAAAACACUGGAACCAACAAGGUUUCUCUGUGUUCAUGAGUGAAAAUUAUUUCGGAGCACCUGUACCUCAAAAUAUAUUUUAUACAUUAAAAUAUUUGUAUAAUAUUAUCAUAAAGAGCAGGAUAAAUUAAUGUAAUAACUAACGUUCUAUGUGCAAUAUGCGUCUCCAGUCCACUGUUCAGGGAUAUGUAUACUUACGACACAGAGAUUUAUGAAGUACAUAGUCUUUUUAGUCCUCUUUUCAAACUAUUUAAGACGUUGAAAAAUAAAGAUGUAAUUACAUGUUAGUUUUGUUUCGUAACAUUCCCUCUUUUUUCAUUACGGAGUACGCUUUAGGACCGGGGGUAAUGAACUAAAAAUAUUUUUUCGUUCAUAGUUAUAACAUUCGUAAA
RNAcentral lists this long non-coding RNA (2992 nucleotides) under Bemisia tabaci. RNAcentral's name for it is "lncRNA ENSSSA2NGG005172". Lineage: Eukaryota; Metazoa; Arthropoda; Insecta; Hemiptera; Aleyrodidae. The record is from RNAcentral.